UACGUAGGGUGCGAGCGUUGUCCGGAAUUAUUGGGCGUAAAGAGCGUGUAGGCGGCCAGGUAGGUCGGUUGUGAAAACUGGAGGCUCAACCUUCAGAGGUCGACCGAAACCAUCUGGCUAGAGUCCGGGAGAGGAGAGUGGAAUUCCUGGUGUAGCGGUGAAAUGCGCAGAUAUCAGGAAGAACACCCGUGGCGAAAGCGGCUCUCUGGAACGGUACUGACGCUGAGACGCGAAAGCGUGGGGAGCGAACAGG
This 253-nucleotide ribosomal RNA is filed under the name uncultured bacterium. RNAcentral's name for it is "partial 16S ribosomal RNA". It matches the Rfam family "Bacterial small subunit ribosomal RNA", at positions 524 to 776 of the family's 1533-position model. The record is from RNAcentral.